AUGCCUCCCAACUCGCGGCCCCGUCUCCGCGUCGGUUUUGCCACCCGAAUGGCGAGGCAACAACGUAUGCUGGAGACAAACUCUACGGAGCAACCCUCCGAGACUGCCACCAUGGAUAGCUGCACUGAUGUGGCUGCCAGCAUCGACAGGGAUUCGGUGGAGUUGAGUUGCUAUGAGAGGAUUGCGGCCCUGGGGAGCAUCGGGGAUCAGUGCAUCUAUGCGGAUGAACUCCGGCUCCUGCUCCGGAAGAAGAAUGCUCCCAUUUGCUAUGUUUGGUUUGAGCCAACCCCCUGGAUGGACAUAACCCAGGGGCUUCUGAAGACAAUUUAUGUCAACAAGAUGCUCAAAGCUGGUUACAUAGUUAAAAUAUUGAUAGCAGAUUGGUUUGCCCAACGGAACCAUAGGAUUUGCAGCAAUAAAUAUGUAAUAAGGAAAAUUGGCUGCUACAAUAUUGAGAUGUGGAAAGCAGCUGGCAUGGAUCUUGACAGGGUAGAGCUUGUAUGGUUCUCAGAUGUGUUGGAAAGGCAUGCAUCUGAUUACUGGCCACUUGCCCUGGAUGUCUCCAAAAAAUGCACUCUAAAAAGAAUGGCAAGCUGUUGCACGGAAACAGCCCCAUAUGACCCGCGACUGCCUGCUGCUGUGAUAUUUUACCCAUGCAUGCAAGUUGCUGCUAUAUUAUGUCCGAAGUUGCAGGCGGAUAUAUGGCUCUUCAGCAUGGAUCAGCAAGAAAUUGUCAUGCUAACCAGAGAGUAUUGUGAAGACAUAAAAAGAGAAAGCAAACCAACUAUUAUGUUGCACAAUACACUACCUAAUUUAGUAGAUAAUCCUUAUAUUGUACUAAAGGACCCUUAUAACAUGAGGGAACCAAAAUGGAACAUCUUCAUGCAUGAUAAGGAGUGCGCUUUGAAUGAAAAAAUAAGCAGGGCUGUCUGUCCUCCAAAAGUAGCAGUAUGCAACCCAUGUUUGGAGUACAUCAAAUAUGUUAUCUUCCCUUGGUUUGGGAAGUUUGAGGUAGCGCAGAAGGAACAGAGUGGUGUUAACAAGCCAUUUGAAUGCAUGGAAGAUCUUAUUGUUGAUUAUGAAAGUGGCGAUCUUGAUCCUGUCGACGUUAAGUUGGCUUUUGAAAAAGGAAUAUGCAAAAUAUUAGAGGUAAUUAUUGCUUCCUUACGAGGUAGCAUCCUUGUGCCAGGUUCUCUCCUGGCGCCACCACUCUCCGUCGCUGCUGCAUUGGUCCAGGGAGGAGCAAUCUCCACUCCUGGUGGCGGCAUCGAUCUUUAUCUAGAUGUAGUGGUAGCUCGUUCCUUCUUGUCUCAUGUGGCCAUGCGUUCCUUUGGCGAGCUUCUCUCGUAUCCCUAUGGUAGCAGCAGCUUGUCUUCGUCUUCCUCGACAGCAAGGUCGUCUUCGCGGGCCAAACUGUCCGGGUUGCAGCUUUCUAACUCGUCUGGACCGCGCUGCCCGGUAUCCUCUAGGUAA
RNAcentral lists this ribosomal RNA (1473 nucleotides) under Triticum aestivum (bread wheat). RNAcentral describes it as "partial small subunit ribosomal RNA". Lineage: Eukaryota; Viridiplantae; Streptophyta; Magnoliopsida; Poales; Poaceae. The record is from RNAcentral.